RNAcentral lists this ribosomal RNA (433 nucleotides) under uncultured bacterium. RNAcentral's name for it is "partial 16S ribosomal RNA". It matches the Rfam family "Bacterial small subunit ribosomal RNA", at positions 29 to 507 of the family's 1533-position model. The record is from RNAcentral.
AACGAACGCUGGCGGCAUGCCUAACACAUGCAAGUCGAACGAGACCUUCGGGUCUAGUGGCGCACGGGUGCGUAACGCGUGGGAACCUGCCCUUAGGUUCGGAAUAACUCCCCGAAAGGGGUGUUAAUACCGGAUAAUGUCUUCGGACCAAAGAUUUAUCGCCUUUGGAUGGGCCCGCGUUGGAUUAGCUAGUUGGUAGGGUAAAAGCCUACCAAGGCGACGAUCCAUAGCUGGUCUGAGAGGAUGAUCAGCCACACUGGGACUGAGACACGGCCCAGACUCCUACGGGAGGCAGCAGUGGGGAAUAUUGGACAAUGGGCGAAAGCCUGAUCCAGCAAUGCCGCGUGAGUGAUGAAGGCCUCAGGGUUGUAAAGCUCUUUUACCCGGGAUGAUAAUGACAGUACCGGGAGAAUAAGCGCCGGCUAACUCCGUG